This is a long non-coding RNA of Engraulis encrasicolus (European anchovy), 429 nucleotides long. RefSeq lists it as uncharacterized. The transcript is spliced from 2 exons. Lineage: Eukaryota; Metazoa; Chordata; Actinopteri; Clupeiformes; Engraulidae. The record is from RefSeq and is a predicted model, not a curated record.
UAGCAGCAGGACACUGAAGAGUGCAGUUGGAUUAUUGUUUCUUCCUGGACAUUUACACAUGCCUCACAUAGUAUGGGACUCAGAUGGACAGCACAAGUCAGGGGUGCAGGCCAAUCAUCAUGCUCUAAGUACAUGAACAUCAACACAGCAUUAUCAUAUCAGGUCCAGCAGGACACUGAGGAGUACAGUUGGAUUGUUGUUUCCUCCUGGACAUUUACACACGCCACACAUAGUAUGGGACUCAGAUGGACAGCAAAAGUCAGGGGUGCAGGCCAAUCAUCAUGCUGUAAGUACAUGAACAUCAACUCAGCAUUAUCAUAUCAGUAAGCAUAGGUUUUAUAGCUCAACUUCAACAUGAACACACACACACACACACACACACACACACACACACACACACACACACACACACACACACACACACACACA